GGCCCCAUCGUCUAGCCUGGUUUAGGACAUUUGGUUUUCAUCCAAAAGAUCACCGGUUCAAAUCCGGUUGGGGCCG
This 76-nucleotide transfer RNA is filed under the name bacterium. RNAcentral describes it as "tRNA-Glu". It matches the Rfam family "tRNA". Rfam says of the family: Transfer RNA (tRNA) molecules are approximately 80 nucleotides in length. The record is from RNAcentral.